AACGAACGCUGGCGGCAUGCCUAACACAUGCAAGUCGAACGAGAACUUCGGGUCUAGUGGCGCACGGGUGCGUAACGCGUGGGAACCUGCCUUUAGGUUCGGAAUAACUCAGAGAAAUUUGAGCUAAUACCGGAUGAUGUCUUCGGACCAAAGAUUUUUCGCCUUUGGAUGGGCCCGCGUUGGAUUAGCUAGUUGGUGGGGUAAAGGCCUACCAAGGCGACGAUCCAUAGCUGGUCUGAGAGGAUGAUCAGCCACACUGGGACUGAGACCCGGCCCAGACUCCGACGGGAGGCAGCAGUGGGGAAUAUUGGACACUGGGCGAAAGCCUGAUCCAGCAAUGCCGCGUGAGUGAUGAAUGCCUUAGGGUUGUAAAUCUCUUUUACCCGAGAUGAUAAUGACGGUAUCGGGAGAAUAAGCUCCGGCUAACUCCGUG
RNAcentral lists this ribosomal RNA (433 nucleotides) under uncultured bacterium. RNAcentral's name for it is "partial 16S ribosomal RNA". It matches the Rfam family "Bacterial small subunit ribosomal RNA", at positions 29 to 507 of the family's 1533-position model. The record is from RNAcentral.